RNAcentral lists this long non-coding RNA (1160 nucleotides) under Macaca fascicularis (crab-eating macaque). RNAcentral's name for it is "lncRNA (ENSMFAG00000063172.1)". The record is from RNAcentral. Lineage: Eukaryota; Metazoa; Chordata; Mammalia; Primates; Cercopithecidae.
GCAAGGGGGAAGGGAAUCCCUUUCCUAGCCAGGGGAACUGAGACACACAACACCUGGAAAAUCGGGUAACUCCCACCCCAAUACUGCGCUUUAAGCAAACAGGCACACCAGGAGAUCAUAUCCCACACCUGGCCGGGAGGGUCCCACACCGAUGGAGCCUCCCUCAUUGCCAGCACAGCAGUCUGCUAUAUCGCGGCAAGGCAGCAACGAGGCUGGGGGAGGGGUGCCCGCCAUUGCUGAGGCUUAAAUAGGUAAACAAAGCUGCUGGGAAGCUCGAACUGGGUGGAGCUCACAGCAGCUUAAGGAAACCUGCCUGUCUCUGUAGACUCCACCUCUGGGGACAGGGCACAGUAAAAAUAACAAAAACAGCAGAAACCUCUGCAGACGCAAACGACUCUGUCUGACACCUUUGAAGAGAGCAGUGGAUCUCCCAACAUGGAGGUUGAGAUCUGAGAAGGGACAGACUCCCUGCUCAAGUGGGUCCCUGACCCCUGAGUAGCCUAACUGGGAGACAUCCCCCACUAGGGCAGUCUGACACCCCACACCUCACAGGGUGGAGUACACCCUGAGAGGAAGCUUCCAAAGCAAAAAUCAGACAGAGGUGUCUGUGUGUCUUAGUUUACUGUGCCCUGUCCCCAGAGGUGGAGUCUACAGAGACAGGCAGGUUUCCUUGAGCUGCUGUGAGCUCCACCCAGUUCGAGCUUCCCAGCAGCUUUGUUUACCUACUUAAGCCUCAGCAAUGGCGAGCCCCUCCCCAGCCUCGCUGCUGCCUUGCCGGUAGAUCACAGACUGCUGCGCUAGCAACGAGGGAGGCUCCGUGGGUGUGGGACCCUCCCGGCCAGGUGUGGGAUACGAUCUCCUGGUGUGCCUGUUUCCUAAAGCGCAGUAUUGGGGUAGGAGUUACCCGAUUUUCCAGGUGUUGUGUGUCUCAGUUCCCCUGGCUAGGAAAAGGGACUCCCUUCCCCCUUGCGCUUCCCAGGUGAGGCAAUGCCUCGCCCUGCUUCAGCUCUCGCUGGUCGGGCUGCAGCAGCUGACCAGCUCCGAUCGUCCGGCACUCCCCAGUGAGAUGAACCCAGUACCUCAGUUGAAAAUGCAGAAAUCACCGGUUUUCUGUGUCGCUCGCGCUGGGAGUUGGAGACUGGAGCUGCUCCUAUUCGGCC